RNAcentral lists this ribosomal RNA (301 nucleotides) under uncultured bacterium. RNAcentral describes it as "partial 16S ribosomal RNA". It matches the Rfam family "Bacterial small subunit ribosomal RNA", at positions 509 to 809 of the family's 1533-position model. The record is from RNAcentral.
CAGUAGCCGCGGUAAUACGGAGGGUGCAAGCGUUAAUCGGAAUUACUGGGCGUAAAGCGCACGCAGGCGGUCUGACAAGUCAGAUGUGAAAUCCCCGGGCUUAACCUAGGAACUGCAUUUGAAACUGUCAGGCUGGAGUCUUGUAGAGGGGGGUGGAAUUCCAGGUGUAGCGGUGAAAUGCGUAGAGAUCUGGAGGAAUACCGGUGGCGAAGGCGGCCCCCUGGACAAAGACUGACGCUCAGGUGCGAAAGCGUGGGGAGCAAACAGGAUUAGAUACCCCGGUAGUCCCUGUCUCUUAUAA